Molecule: long non-coding RNA, 209 nt
Filed under: Mustela putorius furo (domestic ferret)
Lineage: Eukaryota; Metazoa; Chordata; Mammalia; Carnivora; Mustelidae
Description: lncRNA (ENSMPUG00000025271.1)
Source: RNAcentral
UGGGGAGCUGGCAUGGUGUUGGACAUAAGCAACCAAGCAGCCACACAGCUUGGCAGGAGCCCUCAGGAGCGAGUGAAGAGGAGGAAGGGUACCGUGACUCUUUCUGGGGACCCUGGAUGGCUGACUCCUGGCUGAAACAGAGCCGUCAAUCUUGUGACAAGACAAGCAUUAAUGCCUCCAAAUAUUGGCACCAUGCCACACACAGAUUU